This 583-nucleotide unclassified non-coding RNA is filed under the name Hevea brasiliensis (rubber tree). Lineage: Eukaryota; Viridiplantae; Streptophyta; Magnoliopsida; Malpighiales; Euphorbiaceae. The record is from RNAcentral.
CGCAUAGUCAACACAUCAUUAUUAGCAAGUAACAAUAAUACAUGAUUCAUCGCAACACAAGAAAUCAUAUUAAGUUGGUAACCAGAGACUGAUUAUUAAUGGUAUUACUUUCAACAAAGUUCUCAUGAGAAGAGAGAAUGCCCACUGUUUUAAUAACAUCUUGGGGAAACUACAAAAGGGAAUCCAAAAGAACCAGAAAAUUAAGGGAAGCAGUUAAAUCUUGUACUUGGCUUUGGCUACCUCUCCUUCAUUUGGGAAGAAACCCAUGAGCCUGCCAGCUGAAUUCUGAUAAGCAUACAUGAAACCACCCAUUAGCCCAAUCAAACCUCCGGUAACCAUCGAUGGCCCUCUAAUCCCUGGCUUUAUUCCGGAGAGGUAUCCGACGGUGACAGAAAUCCCGGUGAUGGUGGUGAGCCGGAGGUAAUCGAGUGUGUUGAAAUUACCGACGGUUUUAGUAAACGGUGGGUUUCGAUCUACAACUGGAUACUCGGGCUUUGCCGAUGCUGUGAUAUCAGUAUUCAUCUUCCUUCUUAGCUGCUCUUCUUCUGGUCACUUGCCGGCGGCUGACGGUUUUAGUAAACGG